GGCUGAACAGCUCGGUGGUAAGAGCACUCGCCUGCACAGCGAAAGACUCGGGUUCGAUUCCCGAUUCAGCGA
RNAcentral lists this transfer RNA (72 nucleotides) under Camponotus floridanus (Florida carpenter ant). It matches the Rfam family "tRNA". From Rfam's summary of the family: Transfer RNA (tRNA) molecules are approximately 80 nucleotides in length. Their secondary structure includes four short double-helical elements and three loops (D, anti-codon, and T loops). Lineage: Eukaryota; Metazoa; Arthropoda; Insecta; Hymenoptera; Formicidae. The record is from Rfam by way of RNAcentral.